AGAGUUUGAUCAUGGCUCAGAUUGAACGCUGGCGGCAGGCCUAACACAUGCAAGUCGAACGGUAACAGGAAGCAGCUUGCUGCUUUGCUGACGAGUGGCGGACGGGUGAGUAAUGUCUGGGAAACUGCCUGAUGGAGGGGGAUAACUACUGGAAACGGUAGCUAAUACCGCAUAACGUCGCAAGACCAAAGAGGGGGACCUUCGGGCCUCUUGCCAUCGGAUGUGCCCAGAUGGGAUUAGCUAGUAGGUGGGGUAACGGCUCACCUAGGCGACGAUCCCUAGCUGGUCUGAGAGGAUGACCAGCCACACUGGAACUGAGACACGGUCCAGACUCCUACGGGAGGCAGCAGUGGGGAAUAUUGCACAAUGGGCGCAAGCCUGAUGCAGCCAUGCCGCGUGUAUGAAGAAGGCCUUCGGGUUGUAAAGUACUUUCAGCGGGGAGGAAGGGAGUAAAGUUAAUACCUUUGCUCAUUGACGUUACCCGCAGAAGAAGCACCGGCUAACUCCGUGCCAGCAGCCGCGGUAAUACGGAGGGUGCAAGCGUUAAUCGGAAUUACUGGGCGUAAAGCGCACGCAGGCGGUUUGUUAAGUCAGAUGUGAAAUCCCCGGGCUCAACCUGGGAACUGCAUCUGAUACUGGCAAGCUUGAGUCUCGUAGAGGGGGGUAGAAUUCCAGGUGUAGCGGUGAAAUGCGUAGAGAUCUGGAGGAAUACCGGUGGCGAAGGCGGCCCCCUGGACGAAGACUGACGCUCAGGUGCGAAAGCGUGGGGAGCAAACAGGAUUAGAUACCCUGGUAGUCCACGCCGUAAACGAUGUCGACUUGGAGGUUGUGCCCUUGAGGCGUGGCUUCCGGAGCUAACGCGUUAAGUCGACCGCCUGGGGAGUACGGCCGCAAGGUUAAAACUCAAAUGAAUUGACGGGGGCCCGCACAAGCGGUGGAGCAUGUGGUUUAAUUCGAUGCAACGCGAAGAACCUUACCUGGUCUUGACAUCCACGGAAGUUUUCAGAGAUGGAAAUGUGCCUUCGGGAACCGUGAGACAGGUGCUGCAUGGCUGUCGUCAGCUCGUGUUGUGAAAUGUUGGGUUAAGUCCCGCAACGAGCGCAACCCUUAUCCUUUGUUGCCAGCG
This 1126-nucleotide ribosomal RNA is filed under the name Escherichia coli KTE144. Its description in RNAcentral is "bacterial SSU rRNA". It matches the Rfam family "Bacterial small subunit ribosomal RNA", at positions 8 to 1123 of the family's 1533-position model. Lineage: Bacteria; Pseudomonadati; Pseudomonadota; Gammaproteobacteria; Enterobacterales; Enterobacteriaceae. The record is from RNAcentral.